CGCCCGGGGCGCGCCCCGGGCGGGGCGGGGGCACGGGGGUUGGAGGGCAAGUCUGGUGCCAGCAGCCGCGGUAAUUCCAGCUCCAAUAGCGUAUAUUAAAGUUGUUGCAGUUAAAAAGCUCGUAGUUGAAUUUCGGGAUCAAUAUGUUGGUCGUGCCUUGGUACGUACUGGCGUCAUUGGUUUCUACCUUCUGAAGAACCUCGAUGUCA
RNAcentral lists this ribosomal RNA (209 nucleotides) under Glomus sp. DGGE gel band B14. RNAcentral's name for it is "partial 18S ribosomal RNA". It matches the Rfam family "Eukaryotic small subunit ribosomal RNA", at positions 483 to 717 of the family's 1831-position model. The record is from RNAcentral. Lineage: Eukaryota; Fungi; Glomeromycota; Glomeromycetes; Glomerales; Glomeraceae.